GGGAGUUUAGCUAAGUGGCACAAGCACAUGCCUGGCAAGCAUAAGGUCAUGAGCUUAAAUCCCG
Molecule: transfer RNA, 64 nt
Filed under: Cavia porcellus (domestic guinea pig)
Lineage: Eukaryota; Metazoa; Chordata; Mammalia; Rodentia; Caviidae
Rfam family: tRNA
About the family: Transfer RNA (tRNA) molecules are approximately 80 nucleotides in length. Their secondary structure includes four short double-helical elements and three loops (D, anti-codon, and T loops).
Source: Rfam by way of RNAcentral